GAUGAACGCUGGCGGCGUGCCUAAUACAUGCAAGUCGAGCGAACGGACGAGAAGCUUGCUUCUCUGAUGUUAGCGGCGGACGGGUGAGUAACACGUGGAUAACCUACCUAUAAGACUGGGAUAACUUCGGGAAACCGGAGCUAAUACCGGAUAAUAUUUUGAACCGCAUGGUUCAAAAGUGAAAGACGGUCUUGCUGUCACUUAUAGAUGGAUCCGCGCUGCAUUAGCUAGUUGGUAAGGUAACGGCUUACCAAGGCAACGAUGCAUAGCCGACCUGAGAGGGUGAUCGGCCACACUGGAACUGGGACACGGGCCAGACUCCUACGGGAGGCAGCAGUAGGGAAUCUUCCGCAAUGGGCGGAAGCCUGACGGAGCAACGCCGCGUGAGUGAUGAAGGUCUUCGGAUCGUAAAACUCUGUUAUUAGGGAAGAACAUAUGUGUAAGUAACUGUGCACAUCUUGACGGUACCUAAUCAGAAAGCCACGGCUAACUACGUG
This 497-nucleotide ribosomal RNA is filed under the name uncultured bacterium. RNAcentral's name for it is "partial 16S ribosomal RNA". It matches the Rfam family "Bacterial small subunit ribosomal RNA", at positions 28 to 507 of the family's 1533-position model. The record is from RNAcentral.